Non-coding RNA from Pangasius djambal, 72 nucleotides. The record is from the annotation of a GenBank genome assembly. Lineage: Eukaryota; Metazoa; Chordata; Actinopteri; Siluriformes; Pangasiidae.
GGAAGUGGUAGCUCAGUGGUUAAGACCUUGAACUUCUAAUCGGAAGGUUGGGUUCAAAUCCCAGCACUGCCA